RNAcentral lists this microRNA precursor (95 nucleotides) under Dasypus novemcinctus (nine-banded armadillo). RNAcentral's name for it is "miRNA (ENSDNOG00000038215.1)". The record is from RNAcentral. Lineage: Eukaryota; Metazoa; Chordata; Mammalia; Cingulata; Dasypodidae.
AUCUCUUGGGGAUCUUGUUUAAAUGCAGAUUUGGAUUCAUUAGGUCUGGGUUGGGGACUGAGAUUCUGCAUUUCUAACAAGUUUUCAGGUGAUGC